UGGCGGCAUGCCUAAGACAUGCAAGUCGAACGAGAAAGCCUAAUGACGUUGGGAAAGCGAGCGGCGGAUGGGUGAGUAACACGUGGGGAACCUGCCCCUAAGUCUGGGAUACCAUUUGGAAACAGGUGCUAAUACCGGAUAAUAAAGCAGAUCGCAUGAUCAGCUUUUGAAAGGCGGCGUAAGCUGUCGCUAAGGGAUGGCCCCGCGGUGCAUUAGCUAGUUGGUAAGGUAACGGCUUACCAAGGCGACGAUGCAUAGCCGAGUUGAGAGACUGAUCGGCCACAUUGGGACUGAGACACGGCCCAGACUCCUACGGGAGGCAGCAGUGGGGAAUCUUCCGCAAUGGACGAAAGUCUGACGGAGCAACGCCGCGUGAACGAUGACGGCCUUCGGGUUGUAAAGUUCUGUUAUACGGGACGAAUGGCGUAGCGGUCAAUACCCGUUACGAGUGACGGUACCGUAAGAGAAAGCCACGGCUAACUACGUG
RNAcentral lists this ribosomal RNA (487 nucleotides) under uncultured bacterium. RNAcentral describes it as "bacterial SSU rRNA". It matches the Rfam family "Bacterial small subunit ribosomal RNA", at positions 37 to 507 of the family's 1533-position model. The record is from RNAcentral.